RNAcentral lists this ribosomal RNA (439 nucleotides) under uncultured bacterium. Its description in RNAcentral is "partial 16S ribosomal RNA". It matches the Rfam family "Bacterial small subunit ribosomal RNA", at positions 339 to 795 of the family's 1533-position model. The record is from RNAcentral.
CUACGGGGUGCACCAGUGGGGAAUAUUGCACAAUGGAGGAAACUCUGAUGCAGCAACGCCGCGUGGAGGAUGACACUUUUCGGAGCGUAAACUCCUUUUAUAUAGGAAGAAGAUGACGGUACUAUAUGAAUAAGCGCCGGCUAACUCCGUGCCAGCAGCCGCGGUAAUACGGAGGGCGCAAGCGUUACUCGGAAUCACUGGGCGUAAAGAGCGUGUAGGCGGAUUAAAAAGUCAGAAGUGAAACCCUAUAGCUUAACUAUAGAACUGCUUCUGAAACUCUUAAUCUAGAAUGUGGGAGAGGUAGAUGGAAUUUCUGGUGUAGGGGUAAAAUCCGUAGAGAUCAGAAGGAAUACCGAUUGCGAAGGCGAUCUACUAGAACAUUAUUGACGCUGAGACGCGAAAGCGUGGGGAGCAAACAGGAUUAGAUACCCGCGUAGUC